CGCCUGUUCGGCCAGGUUCGGGCACUUCAUCCCGGGCGGGAGGUCGUGGAAGUCGUUGCGGUCGUUGCGUUCGUGCCUGCCGAGCGCGGGGGA
Molecule: transfer RNA, 93 nt
Filed under: Amycolatopsis oliviviridis
Lineage: Bacteria; Bacillati; Actinomycetota; Actinomycetes; Pseudonocardiales; Pseudonocardiaceae
Description: tRNA-Pro
Source: RNAcentral